This 468-nucleotide ribosomal RNA is filed under the name uncultured bacterium. RNAcentral's name for it is "partial 16S ribosomal RNA". It matches the Rfam family "Bacterial small subunit ribosomal RNA", at positions 28 to 507 of the family's 1533-position model. The record is from RNAcentral.
GAUGAACGCUGACAGAAUGCUUAACACAUGCAAGUCUACUUGAAUUUGGGUUUUUUAACUUAGAUUUGGGUGGCGGACGGGUGAGUAACGCGUAAAGAACUUGCCUCACAGUUAGGGACAACAUUUGGAAACGAAUGCUAAAACCUGAUAUUAUGAAUAUAUGGCAUCAUAUAAUUAUGAAAGCUAUAAGCGCUGUGAGAGAGCUUUGCGUCCCAUUAGCUAGUUGGAGAGGUAACGGCUCACCAAGGCGAUGAUGGGUAGCCGGCCUGAGAGGGUGAACGGCCACAAGGGGACUGAGACACGGCCCUUACUCCUACGGGAGGCAGCAGUGGGGAAUAUUGGACAAUGGACCAAGAGUCUGAUCCAGCAAUUCUGUGUGCACGAUGACGUUUUUCGGAAUGUAAAGUGCUUUCAGUUGGGAAGAAAAAAAUGACGGUACCAACAGAAGAAGUGACGGCUAAAUACGUG